Molecule: long non-coding RNA, 1009 nt
Filed under: Sparus aurata (gilthead seabream)
Lineage: Eukaryota; Metazoa; Chordata; Actinopteri; Spariformes; Sparidae
Description: lncRNA (ENSSAUG00010022705.1)
Source: RNAcentral
AAAAACUACAGACUCGUAGCAGCAAGACAGUCUGAAUUAGAGGUUCUUUCCCAAGAAGAACCUAAGCUCAGCCCAGUGGAGACUUCUUCAGAGGCACUUGAGGAGAAGAUCAGGGCCCUCAGGGAAGAGAAUAAAAGACUGCGAGACCAGCAGAGUGUAGCAUCUUCUGCAGCCAGUAAAGAUCUUGAGAUCCGAGUCAAGGCUUUACAGAAGGAGAACACCAGGCUGCGCUUCAUGGCAGUUAAAGAAAUUCCAUCACUCUUGGCAGCUGUGAGAGCCCUCAUUUCAGCUAAGGUCACAGAGAGCUAUGAAGCUGAAGGCGAAUAUGAGGUUUCUCUACCAUCUCCACCUCCUCAACCCACAUCACCCAAACCAACAACAGUGCAACUAGGGAAUGGUGACGCCGCCGCAGUGUCUGCCCAUUGUUGGGAGAUGGCAAAGGCACAAGCCACAGCAAAAGGAAUGGCCCGCACCCUUCUGCUGGGCCUGUUCAGCAUUGACGUCCUGCUCAAUUCCAACCUGACAGGAGGGAUCAACAAGGGCGAUCCCUCUGCGGAAAGACGCCAGCCUCUGGACCCAGAGAAGCUUAAAGCUUUACUCAAUGCAGUUGUCCAACAACACCCAAGGGCGAAGAUUCCAGAAAUACGGACGGCAAUAAACAAAGGAUCUGUGAGUUAAGACACCAGGAGAAGAAAAAGUCCAAGGACAACUGAAGGACUGGCCAAUCAGAGCGGGUCUUGAUGUUGGCAGGGAUUGUUGUCCUGUUUUUUUCCACUGAGGGACUGUUGUGUUUUUGUUGCACUGAUUACUGUUUUAUUGUAAUGGACAGUUGUCCUAUUGGACAUGUUUUAUCAGUGUUUCUGUUAAUUUAUUGUUGUGUUGCCAUUGAAAAGUGCCUUUCAUUCUGUGUGUUUCUUUCAGCUGCUGCCUUAACAUUCAGUUAAUGUAAACUAAAGUGGUGUCUUAUUUGAUGUAUAUUUUAUAUUAAAAUAUGACAGACAUUGUACGU